Molecule: long non-coding RNA, 205 nt
Filed under: Mytilus galloprovincialis (Mediterranean mussel)
Lineage: Eukaryota; Metazoa; Mollusca; Bivalvia; Mytilida; Mytilidae
Source: RNAcentral
UGAAUAGGGAAUACUUGUGAAAAGUGUAGAAAAGUCAAAUGUUUUAAUACUAUUGCAAGAUGACAGAGUCUCAGAUUGUAUGUACUCUAAAAGAUCUUUGAUUUUUUUAGUGUCCACAUCGGAUUCACGCCACCUGUAGAAUAGGCAGUUUCACAAUAACUUUGCCCGACUUUGAUUGCUAAUAACAUAGAAGCUUAUAAUUUAU